RNAcentral lists this ribosomal RNA (497 nucleotides) under uncultured bacterium. RNAcentral describes it as "partial 16S ribosomal RNA". It matches the Rfam family "Bacterial small subunit ribosomal RNA", at positions 28 to 507 of the family's 1533-position model. The record is from RNAcentral.
GAUGAACGCUGGCGGCGUGCCUAAUACAUGCAAGUCGAGCGAACGGACGAGAAGCUUGCUUCUCUGAUGUUAGCGGCGGACGGGUGAGUAACACGUGGAUAACCUACCUAUAAGACUGGGAUAACUUCGGGAAACCGGAACUAAUACCGGAUGAUAUUUUGAACCGCAUGGUUCAAAAGUGAAAGACGGUCUUGCUGUCACUUAUAGAUGGAUCCGCGCUGCAUUAGCUAGUUGGUAAGGUAACGGCUUACCAAGGCAACGAUGCAUAGCCGACCUGAGAGGGUGAUCGGCCACACUGGAACUGAGACACGGUCCAGACUCCUACGGGAGGCAGCAGUAGGGAAUCUUCCGCAAUGGGCGAAAGCCUGAUGGAGCAACGCCGCGUGAGUGAUGAAGGUCUUCGGAUCGUAAAACUCUGUUAUUAGGGAAGAACAUAUGUGUAAGUAACUGUGCACAUCUUGACGGUACCUAAUCAGAAAGCCACGGCUAACUACGUG